AUGAAAAGAGGCAAGUCUACUCCAUUUCCAACAGAAGGCCCUCAGUGUUCUGCAGAUAUGGUCUCCUCUGAUGGUGGACACCAAGAGACCCAGCCAACCAUGGAGCACGCUCAUCUGGAGACCCAACCUCCUUCGGCGGCUGAGGCUGCCUCAGGUGUGGCUCCUGCCAAUUGCAAGUGCCCCACACCAUCCCGCCCUCUGCCGCCAACUCCUGGCCACUCUCAGUCCAGAGGCCGUACUCUGCGACGUUACCCCAAGCGUCAAAGCUGUCGCCGGAUAUGCUCCUCUUCAUCCAGCUCUCGGGAAUCCCGUUCUCGUACUCCGCAAUGCCGAGAAUGCGACCACUGCACCCAUUCUCCACAUAGUACCUCCUGUCAUUCCCAGGAUGCCGAAGAAUGUCGAGGCCCUCCCUGUCACCGCUGCUCAGGAUGCGACUGUUCUGUUGCUGGCCGAGGACACCAGGAUCGUGGGCAUCAUUCUCAAAGGUUGUCAGUCUCAAACACCUCCUCCGUGAUACCUGGACCUCAUUCUGCCAGAGUCACUUCUCAUCCUCAAGAUGCUGAUGCUGUGACAUCUCAGGCUGCUGAACCUGCUCACCAUCCAUUUCAAAGCAUCAGUUCCGAUGAGGACUCUUCAUCUUCUUCCUCCUCUUCAGAUUCAAGUCGAGCGGCAUCCCCUAGUCCCUUUGUCACCAAACCUCCCCCUCUGUUGCCUGUUUACAACGUUGGGUCUUUCAGGGAUCAAAUAUUGCGCCUCACUAAAGCCCUAGGCCUUCAAAUACAGCAACCUAGAAUUGUCAAUGACCCCGUUUUCAAGUUCAUUCAAGAACCACCACAAGCUAUUCUGCCGUUUCUACCUUAUCUUCUCCAUGUUGUGAAGGCAUCGUGGUCAAACCCGUCAUCCGUUCCACCCACUUCCCGUAAACUGGAUAACCUUUACAAGAUUGAUGAUAGCUCUCUGGGCUGGUUAGGUCAGCAUCCCAAGCAAAACUCGAUGAUUGUAGGUAUGGUUCACUCAGAGAUUUCAGACGAGGUUCAUUCUACCCCUGUUGAUGAGGAGGGAAAGAAAUUAGAUUCCAUAGGGCGCAAGAUUUAUUCAUCUGCAUCCUUAUUGCUUAAAAUCUCCAAUUAUAGUGCGUGCAUGGGGGCAUACCAAAAAUUUCUGUGGGACAAGGUUGCUCCAUUUUUGGAGAAAUUGCCAGAGGAAGACAAAAGGGCUUGCUCUGUCUUCCAACAGGAGGCCCGUGCUCUAUCCAGACAACAACUCCAAGUUUCUGGGCACAUCGCCGACUGUGCUGGAAAAGUGAUGGCUAAUUCCAUUGGCCUGCGUCGUCAUGCAUGGUUACGUAUCUUGAAUCUUACACCAUAUGCUCGGGCAGCUGUUGAGGAAAUGCCUUUUGACGGGACAGGUAUUUUUCAUGCAGAGACUGACUCGCGUAUGCAACAUAUUGCUACCAUGGAAGAUGUUGUGAAGAAAUUAUGCAGGCCACCUUUAGCCUCUAGAUCCCAAAGGCGUCAGCGCAUGGCACCUUAUCGUACCCAGUCAAGCCACCCAUCAGCCAGAUCAAGACCUAGACCUCAAUUCUAG
Anolis carolinensis (green anole) is the source of this 1587-nucleotide long non-coding RNA. The record is from Ensembl. Lineage: Eukaryota; Metazoa; Chordata; Lepidosauria; Squamata; Anolidae.